AUUAAAGUGGCAGAAAAAUGCCAGGAAUUUAAGCUUCCUUAAUGAAAAAUUUCCUUUAAUA
This 61-nucleotide transfer RNA is filed under the name Dermacentor silvarum. Its description in RNAcentral is "tRNA-Leu". RNAcentral also lists the same sequence under 1 other name. The record is from RNAcentral. Lineage: Eukaryota; Metazoa; Arthropoda; Arachnida; Ixodida; Ixodidae.